Molecule: long non-coding RNA, 2284 nt
Filed under: Canis lupus familiaris (dog)
Lineage: Eukaryota; Metazoa; Chordata; Mammalia; Carnivora; Canidae
Description: lncRNA (ENSCAFG00000057435.1)
Source: RNAcentral
AUUCAAGAAUCUUUCAAUAAUCCAGACAUUUGAGAAAUCUAACCCACUGGAACAAAAAUAAUUGUUAAAUAUAUUACUGUGAAAAACAUGUCGAAGAAAUCAUUUGUUUAUUCCUGAAAUACCAAGAAAAGGUAGGACUGCACCAACCCAGAUAGGUCCUGGCCUGUGUGUCCUGAGAUUCUCACUCCAAGAGCAGAGCAUAUUUUAUUUCUUUAACAGUUUUGAAGUUUUAUAUUUGGAUUUUUGGAACUGACUUUGGCAAUAGUUAUUUUGCCUAGUGGAAUAUGGGAAAGAUGUAUUGAUGACAUGAGGAAAAGGAAGAACAGUUUUAAUUUUAUAACUCACAGAGUCAACUAUUUCUUUCUCUUCUUUGUACCUUCAUGAUUAGACUGUCAUAUAUAUUUAAAGAUAAUAAAAUUUUUCAAACACAUACCCUGAAGGCAAGAAAACCAAAAAACAUGAAGCAGAGUGGCUCUGAGUUACUGCAAAUAUCUCCAGUGGAGGCCUUUGAAUUUUUGUGUUUUUGGAGAAAUUCCUGAAGGACAAAUAGGCACUUGAUGUUUUAAAUCGGCAGACAUUGUUUCUUUCUUGUUUUUCUGUUUUUAAACCAAUCUUUACUUAAUGAAAAUAAAAACACAGAAAGGGUAAUGUCUACUUCAAAUGAAAAGUGAAAGCAGUUAGCCCUGCAAUUUAGUAUCUAUGACUGAGGUAGGGUGACUAGAGGAAGGGAAAUUUUCUGAGUAAAAGAAGAUAGCAAGAAAUCAAGAGUGGGUUUUAGAAAAGUGAAAGGAACUAAGGCAGUGUCUGCUCUUUUAAAUGGAAAGUCUCCAUUUGUCUUGAGGAGCUCCUAUCCACAAAUGUUCAGGGGUCUCUGCUUUAAUAUUUGCAUUUUUUCCUGCGAUGGGUAAUUGCUUUUAUUUUGUUGCAGAGCCAGGUGAACAUACUUUUUCUUUUGUUUGUAUCAACUGAUUUGGUCUUUAUGCAGUGUUGUUAGUAGUUUUCUAUGAAGCCUCGUUGAAAAGAUACCACCUUUGGGUCACCGGGAUGUCCCAGUUGGUUAAGUGUCCAAUUCUUGGUUUUGGCACAGUUUAUGCUCCCAUGUCGUGAGAUCAAGCCCCACCUUGGGCUCUGAGCUCAGCACAGAGUCUACUUCAGAUUCUCUCUCCCUCUUCCUCCUGCUCUCUCUCUCUCUCUCUCCCUAUCUCAAAUAAAGUCUUUAAUAAAAUUUAAAAAAAGAAAAUAUACCAUCUUUGUGGUUACUUUAGUGUUUAUAGCAUAAAUCUCUAACAUAUCAUAAUCUACUUUAAAGUGAUAUUAUACCACUUUACAGGUAGUAUGAAAAAUUUAUAAUAGCAUAUUUCCAUUUCUCUUCUCUACUCUUUGAACUACUGUGAUAAUCCAUUUUGUUUUUUCCACUUAAUGGAAUGCUGUACACACUACAUUUAAUGGAAUAACUUGCAACAUUUUUUUUUUUUUUUAAUGAGGAACCACUUUGAAUUAUAUGGAAUAUUUUCCAAAGUAUACUGUUAAAUAAAUAAAAAAAAAAAGAAAGGUGAAGACCAAUAUGUUGUCCUUGUGUGUGUGUGUGUGUGUGUGUGUGUGUAUGUUCAGACACAUGUGUAUGCACACAAAGAUAUAGGUACAUAUAUGCUUAUAGAGAAAAAGGCCAUCUUGGAAAGAGAUAUAACAGUUCAGUAACUGGGGCAGCCUGGGUGGCCCAGCGGUUUAGCGCCGCCUUCAGCCCAGGGCGUGAUCCUGGAGACCAGGGAUCGAGUCCCACGUGGGCUCCCUGCAUGGAGCUUGCUUCUCUCUCUGCCUCUCUCUCUCUCUCUCUGUAUCUCUCAUGAAUAAAUAAAUGAAAUCUUUUCUUAAAUAGAUGAAAUCUUUAAAAAAAAUAACAGUUCAGUAACUGUUCAUAAUCACUGUGAGGAGAGGAAUUAGGGAACUUGUAUGUUUUGCAUUUUAUACCUUAUUUACACAGUAAAAUAAGUGAAUUGGUAAAUAAAUACAUGACAAAGAAAGAGAGGGUCUAUAUGGGGAGGGUUUGCACUGGAUUAGGAAAUAUUACUAGAAGUCUCUACUAUCAGACACUUGACCAUAUCAAUAGCUGAAUCAUAAGGAUCAUAGAAUGAGUUUGGUUUUAUGAAUAUUACUUUUGAAAACUCAGCUGUAGAGAUGUGAUUUGAAAGCACAAAGGAGAAAGGUAUGAGUCUGAGAUAAAUAUGUAAACUCACGUAUAGGCUCGACUGAAAUAUGAUAGUGAACACUUUCCACUUAACUAAGU